Molecule: ribosomal RNA, 465 nt
Filed under: uncultured bacterium
Lineage: Bacteria
Description: partial 16S ribosomal RNA
Rfam family: Bacterial small subunit ribosomal RNA
Source: RNAcentral
GACGAACGCUGGCGGCGUGCUUAACACAUGCAAGUCGAACGGAAAGGCCCUGCUUGCAGGGUACUCGAGUGGCGAACGGGUGAGUAACACGUGGGUGAUCUGCCCUGCACUUCGGGAUAAGCCUGGGAAACUGGGUCUAAUACCGGAUAGGAGCCAUAUUUAGUGUGAUGGUUGGAAAGUUUUUUCGGUGUAGGAUGAGCUCGCGGCCUAUCAGCUUGUUGGUGGGGUAAUGGCCUACCAAGGCGGCGACGGGUAGCCGGCCUGAGAGGGUGGACGGCCACAUUGGGACUGAGAUACGGCCCAGACUCCGACGGGAGGCAGAAGUGGGGAAUAUUGAACAAGGGGCGCAAGCCUGAUGCAGCGACGCCGCGGGGGGGAUGACGGCCUUCGGGUUGUAAACUCCAUUCGCUAGGGACGAAGCUUUUUGUGACGGUACCUAGAUAAGAAGCACCGGCUAACUACGUG